This 451-nucleotide ribosomal RNA is filed under the name uncultured organism. Its description in RNAcentral is "partial 16S ribosomal RNA". It matches the Rfam family "Bacterial small subunit ribosomal RNA", at positions 330 to 797 of the family's 1533-position model. The record is from RNAcentral.
CGUACACUCCUACGGGAGGCAGCAGUGGGGAAUAUUGGACAAUGGGCGCAAGCCUGAUCCAGCCAUGCCGCGUGAGUGAUGAAGGCCCUAGGGUUGUAAAGCUCUUUCACCGGUGAAGAUAAUGACGGUAACCGGAGAAGAAGCCCCGGCUAACUUCGUGCCAGCAGCCGCGGUAAUACGAAGGGGGCUAGCGUUGUUCGGAUUUACUGGGCGUAAAGCGCACGUAGGCGGACUAUUAAGUCAGGGGUGAAAUCCCGGGGCUCAACCCCGGAACUGCCUUUGAUACUGGUAGUCUUGAGUUCGAGAGAGGUGAGUGGAAUUCCGAGUGUAGAGGUGAAAUUCGUAGAUAUUCGGAGGAACACCAGUGGCGAAGGCGGCUCACUGGCUCGAUACUGACGCUGAGGUGCGAAAGCGUGGGGAGCAAACAGGAUUAGAAACCCGUGUAGUCCCA